AGUGAACGCUGGCGGUAGGCCUAACACAUGCAAGUCGAACGGCAGCACAGUAAGAGCUUGCUCUUACGGGUGGCGAGUGGCGGACGGGUGAGGAAUACAUCGGAAUUUACUUUUUCGUGGGGGAAAACGUAGGGAAACUUACGCUAAUACCGCAUACGACCUUCGGGUGAAAGCAGGGGAUCUUCGGACCUUGCGCGAUUGAAUGAGCCGAUGUCGGAUUAGCUAGUUGGCGGGGUAAAGGCCCACCAAGGCGACGAUCCGUAGCUGGUCUGAGAGGAUGAUCAGCCACACUGGAACUGAGACACGGUCCAGACUCCUACGGGAGGCAGCAGUGGGGAAUAUUGGACAAUGGGCGCAAGCCUGAUCCAGCCAUACCGCGUGGGUGAAGAAGGCCUUCGGGUUGUAAAGCCCUUUUGUUGGGAAAGAAAAGCAGCAGGUUAAUACCCCGCUGUUCUGACGGUACCCAAAGAAUAAGCACCGGCUAACUUCGUG
RNAcentral lists this ribosomal RNA (492 nucleotides) under uncultured bacterium. Its description in RNAcentral is "partial 16S ribosomal RNA". It matches the Rfam family "Bacterial small subunit ribosomal RNA", at positions 29 to 507 of the family's 1533-position model. The record is from RNAcentral.